RNAcentral lists this ribosomal RNA (309 nucleotides) under Triticum aestivum (bread wheat). RNAcentral describes it as "partial small subunit ribosomal RNA". Lineage: Eukaryota; Viridiplantae; Streptophyta; Magnoliopsida; Poales; Poaceae. The record is from RNAcentral.
AUGUACGUGGUCACCUCGGCCACGCACGUCCUUUCUGCACAUACUAUGCACGUGGUCAAACCAGUGAUGCGCGCCCGUGUGUUGACACCAGAUUUUGGCACGGUCAAUAACUUAUUUAAGAUGGCUUUAAAUGGAGAAGUGAUCUACAUGAAAGAGUUCCGUAUUGUUGAUAUGGACAUCUUUGAAGUUUGGGCCAUCGCCGUCCGGUUUCAUCUCGAAGGCCGAAACUAUGCUCAAAGUACUAAAUCUUAUAUUCAGAGUACAGUUUGGCCGAUUAGGCCCCCAAGAAGACCUCAAACAGAAAAAUGA